GAAAUUAGGGUUUGGAUUGUUGUUGUAUGGUGUUUGAUGUUUACAAUGAUGUGCUCAAUUGACAUUUUUUGGGAAGAAUUGAGAAAUCACAAUUUUUGGAUAAGAACCCUAAUCCCAAUUUGCCCAGAUUUUGGUCCAUUUUCGUGUGCAUGACUUUUCUCCCUCCAGCCAAUCAAAACAUUUCAUUUUCUGGACCAAAACACGGUCGUUUUGAUAAGUGACUGGGUUAUUUACCAAAAUGCCAUUUUCUCCAUAUAAAUUCAAUUAAUUUCUUCAAUAUUUCAUCACAAUCUUCCAAAAUUCACAACUUGCUCAUUUUUGAUCCAAGUUGAGUGGGAUUUUUUGUGUUGUGUUCAUCAUGAUCUCUACUUUUUUAUCAUUAUUUUUCCAGAAUUUUUGGAUGGAUGGUUUUUAAAUGGCCUUAGGGUUUGUGACAUGUGACCAAAUUUUGUACACUUUGCCAA
This 464-nucleotide long non-coding RNA is filed under the name Lathyrus oleraceus (garden pea). RNAcentral's name for it is "Pisum sativum (pea) long non-coding RNA (PSAT_LNC029021)". Lineage: Eukaryota; Viridiplantae; Streptophyta; Magnoliopsida; Fabales; Fabaceae. The record is from RNAcentral.